Podarcis raffonei (Aeolian wall lizard) is the source of this 516-nucleotide long non-coding RNA. RefSeq lists it as uncharacterized. NCBI's taxonomy places the organism in Eukaryota, Metazoa, Chordata, Lepidosauria, Squamata, Lacertidae. The record is from RefSeq and is a predicted model, not a curated record. The transcript has 3 exons.
UUUCGAACAUGCCGAGGUCCUUGACCCAAGGCCAGGUUUUUCAAUCGAUCGUCCUUCUCCUCGGGUCAACACUUCCGACCGGAGCGUGAGAGGAGCCUGGCGGCAUUUCUCCGUGUGUAUCUGUGCGUGCUUGUGCGCCUUUGUGUUUAAACGAAUGACUUCGUAUCUCAUUUCCGGGCGGGCCGAUUGACGAUGAAAAUCGGGUCAUCUCUGGAGCUACGAACGGAACUACUCGGAAGAGCUCGGCUCGGCUGAACCCAGCACGUUUCGUCGGGGAAGGAAUUAAAAGCUGGAAGGAGAAAAAAGCCAAGAGACUUGGGCGGCUUCUUGAUGUUUCUGCAGCGGCAAACGGCGAGCGGCUGCCUAUUCCUCCAUUUUCGCGGGCAUUCGCCUGCUCCUGACGACGGAAAGAAAGGAAGAUCGCCGCCUCUCCUUCUAGGAUUACUGGAUCAAUAAACUAAGAUCGCUAUAUUUAAAGCUUGUAUGUACACACACUUGGGGGGGGGGUUAGCUUCG